This 72-nucleotide transfer RNA is filed under the name Ovis aries (sheep). It matches the Rfam family "tRNA". From Rfam's summary of the family: Transfer RNA (tRNA) molecules are approximately 80 nucleotides in length. Their secondary structure includes four short double-helical elements and three loops (D, anti-codon, and T loops). The record is from Rfam by way of RNAcentral. Lineage: Eukaryota; Metazoa; Chordata; Mammalia; Artiodactyla; Bovidae.
CUCACCGUGGCUCAGAUGGUAAAGCGUCUGCCUGCAAUGCAGGAGACCCAGAUUGGAUUCCUGGUUGGGAAG